Non-coding RNA from Pelobates cultripes (western spadefoot toad), 541 nucleotides. Lineage: Eukaryota; Metazoa; Chordata; Amphibia; Anura; Pelobatidae. The record is from the annotation of a GenBank genome assembly.
GUAAGUGUGUAAAAAGAGCAGCGUUCACACGAUUUUACAAAAGACUGUACAUGCUGCCUGAGAUUCCUAAUAUAAAAUGAAUUCAUGAGGAAUUGAAUGGUGCUUGCUAUGUGCCUGACUGAUGAAAAUAAAGCAGCUUGCUUCAAGUAUGCCUAUUCUCCCCUCUUUAGAGAACAGAUCAUUCUGAUCUUUCUCUAAACCUUGUUUAAUCCAAAAGACAGAUUCUGGGUAUUAAAAAAAGAAUCUCAUAACCACUUAAGCGCUGGGCUGUCAUGUGUUGUGUGGUGAGAUUUGUUAUCAGCUGAGUGACCUGGUGACUGGCAUGAAGUAUUGUAGGAUGCCCUAGUGUGAUAGUAGUAGCAGUUUCAACAGCCAUUGCACAUGCUAUCAAUGCUCUGAGACACGCCGGCAUACCCUGUACCGGAGCUCGAACUACUUUGGAAAAGAAUGCUAUGGGACGCAUACCGCCUCCUUGCUCUUGUGCACAGACCGCGGCCAUGGUUUUACAAUUGUCCCAAAAAUACAAAUGAAAUGGUUUAAA